UGUUUUACAUGGAUAACUGUGGUAAUGCUAGAGCUAAUACAUGCAAGGAAGCCCCGAUUAUAAGGGUGCAUCUAUUAGACUAAAACCAAUACGGGCGCAAGCUCGUAAACUGGUGACUCUGAAUAGCUGAGCUGAUCGUAUGGUCUUGUACCGGCGACGUGUCUAUCAAGUGUCUGCCCUAUCAACUUUGGAUGGUAGUUUAUGUGACUACCAUGGUUGUAACGGGUAACGGAGAAUAAGGGUUCGACUCCGGAGAGGGAGCCUGAGAAACGGCUACCACUUCCAAGGAAGGCAGCAGGCGCGCAAAUUACCCACUCUCGGUUCGAGGAGGUAGUGACGAUAAAUAACAAGGACGUCCUCAAUGAGGACGGCCAUUGGAAUGGGCAAAAUUUAGACCCGUUUGCUAAAGUCAAUGAGAGGGCAAGUCUGGUGCCAGCAGCCGCGGUAAUUCCAGCUCUCAAAGUGUAUAUCGUUGUUGCUGCGGUUAAAAAGCUCGUAGUUGGAUCUUUGCCGAAGGUGCUGGUCCGCCUUUUUGGCGUGAACUGGUCACCUAGGCGUAUUGUGCUGGUUUAGCUUGUGUGGCCUUUAGUGGUUGCACAAGGUGGCUGGCGAGUUUACCUUGAAAAAAUUAGAGUGCUUAAAGCGGGCAUACGCUUGAAUAGUUGCGCAUGGAAUAAUGGAAUAGGAUCUUGGUUCUAUUUUGUUGGUUUCCUGGACUAAGAUAAUGGUUAAGAGGGACAGACGGGGGCAUUCGUAUCGCUACGUGAGAGGUGAAAUUCUUGGACCGUAGCGGGACGCCCGACUGCGAAAGCAUUUGCCAAGAAUGUCUUCAUUAACAAGAACGAA
This 846-nucleotide ribosomal RNA is filed under the name unidentified nematode. Its description in RNAcentral is "bacterial SSU rRNA". It matches the Rfam family "Eukaryotic small subunit ribosomal RNA", at positions 131 to 987 of the family's 1831-position model. Lineage: Eukaryota; Metazoa; Nematoda. The record is from RNAcentral.